This 2394-nucleotide long non-coding RNA is filed under the name Gallus gallus (chicken). Its description in RNAcentral is "lncRNA (ENSGALG00010007291.1)". Lineage: Eukaryota; Metazoa; Chordata; Aves; Galliformes; Phasianidae. The record is from RNAcentral.
CGGCGCGGCAGAAGCCGCCGCUCCCUGCGCGUCCCGCGGCGGUGCGGACGCCUCCUCCGGGACGGGGCUGCCCGAUCGCUCUCCGGUCCCUGCGCUCCGGCGCUGCCGCUCCCGCGCCGACGAAAGGCGGGGGAUUUCCGUUCUCCCGGCCCCGGUGGGGGAACGCGACCUGUUCGCCGGCACGCGUGGAGCCGUCCCGGGGCAGGAGAAGACAGCAAGAUCCCUUUCCAAGGAGAUUGGCACAGGUUUAUACACCUGGUCACAGGCACCUGGCACCCCUCUAACACUGCUCCCACCACUGGACAGAAGAGGCAAAAAUGGGGCUGUGAAAGUGUUCUGAUGACAUCAGUAUGCUUCCCUGGCAACAAAUACUAUAUCCUACCUACUCGUUCAUCAGUACAAUUGGGUAAAAACAGAAAAUGUGGAAAGGAGUAUGGGUGAGUACUAAAAGCUACUCCUUGAAGAGCUCCAGUGAUUCCUCAAGCAAGGUUCAGUAUUACUUCCACAUUCCCCUUGACCUCUUCAGCAACACUGAAGUACAGAGAUCUCAAUUGCUGAAUAUCAGUGGUACAAGACAGGGAUACUUCCUGCUGAACCAUACGAUGAUACUCCAAACAAGGUAGGAAACAGCCGUUUUUCAGGUUUUGCAUCUAGUCUUGUGUUCAUUCUUCUCACUUCAGACACUUAUCUAUGGUCUGCUGCGUCUAAGACAGAAACCCUCCUCAGCCAAGAAGAACAGGUGAAAUAAAAACAUUAAUGCAGGACAACACCAUCAGUGGCUUCUCACUGGUGACUUUUUUUUUUUUUAAACAGGAAUCUAUAACUAGAUUUAAUGAGAUUAGGAACCCCAAACAGGACUCCAUUGAAAGUGGGCUUAGGAGAAGAAUCCUCUCUCUGAUGCUCUGAAACACUGCAAAUGGGAGUUUUCUAGCAUAAUCAAAAUCAUCUAACAAGCCAAGAAGUGCAAAACAUAUCUUUCCACAGAGUUCUCCAUAGCAAGUUUAAAGCCUUAAUUUUUGACCUUUAAAGCACUAUGUGGUCUCUCUCUCUCUCUUUUUUUUUUUUUUUUAAAUAAAUACAAAUUAGAUAGCUACAGUAUUGAAGUUCUUUACAAAAAUCCCACUGGGUAUCUAUCUUUGAAAAUCUGGCACUAACCAAGUUUUGAGCUAAAUCCUAAGUGGCCUAGAUCCCAACCUCAGAGGAGGUUAGGCUAGCACAGAAUCCUAACCACAAAAGCAUGAGGGCAGUAAGCCAACAAUGCCAGUUUAAGCACUGCUGGCAGGACUGUGUCCCCUUACACAUCUCCCCUCUGAGCCUCAUGGCUCAGAGUGAGGCCACAAGAGUGGCAGCAGGUCUGUCUUGUCCAGUUACAGAUUCUGCACAGCAACUCAGCCAGUGUGUACUCUUGUAUUUGCUGGGCUCAGCCAGGGCUUUAAGACAGGCAGGUUGGAAAGCUAGACAAAUGCCUGCAUUUGAAAAAGGGACAGCACAAAAUGGAAAGCGGCUCCCCUUCUCUAGCCUGGUCCCUAUGUCCCAGGCCAAAUACAAAGCUUGCUUUAGGGCACUAUAUAAAUUGGUAUUAUAAAUUCAGAUGGUGCACCAGGGAGUGCCUCAUUCUGUAUGAUUGGAGUCAUUCUCAGGAGCAGUUCAGGCACUCAGUCUGCCACAUGCGACUGCUGCCCCAAGGGCUGCCAUUACAGAUGCAUUAUUACAAAGCUCCGCAAUAAAGCAUGAACUAAAACAACUUCAUUGAAAUGAAGAUUAAUACAGAACAUGUGUUCACCUCCAUACACUCAGAAGGAACAGUCCAGCAAACACAAGCACCACAGCACUAGAGCUGAUGGGCUAGGGGAGAAAUGCAACUGGCCAACCGUUGCUAUUGCUGAAGGCAAGCAAUACAUUUCCAUAGCAUCUUCUAAGCAUCCACAGAUAGAUUUAACAUAGCAUCUGUGAAGCAGAAAGUGAGGCAAGCAGGACAUGCGGAGUGCUGGAACACACAGGGAAGCAUGCUGUGUCUAAGGCAGAGAACAGAGAGGGAUGCUUCAGACCUACAGAAGUAAUAUCACUGGCUGAAUAGUGAUCCAUGCCUUUAGUUAUCACAGACUUCAGUGGAUAUUGAGGCUUCUCAGCACUUCAAAGUGUCAUAUCCAUGUGAGAGUUACAGGUGAGAAAGAUCAACUAAGGUGAUGGUUUAUCCAUCCCCCUCACAAUCAGAAGAAUUAUUCUAUAUUCGCAUCAUCUAUUUGUUGGUGCUAUUGUUGCCUGACAAACUCUCCCAUACAAUUCACAACAUUCCUUUUCUGAUGCCAACAGAGCCUCGGAUUUCACUACUGGCAUGAACUCUGGGACAUUAUAUCUACAUAUUUCCCAGAUCAAAUUAAACUCAUGAUAUUC